GCGCUCUUCGUGUUAGUCGCGCGAGUUUUCUGGAUUGAUGCUCUUGUAUUCUUUUCAAUCUGCUUUGUGCUGCUCUGGAUAUUUAUUUUAUUUGCUUCGAUUCUUCCCAGAGAUGCUGACCUGACUCUAGAUGUAGCCGUAGUUUUCAUUAUUGGCUUCGUUUUUCUGGCAAUUGGAAUAUUCUUUUUGAUGGUGCAUUUCGCUAUACCUCGGUCUGGGUACUACUUCUAUCUAGUCUCUGAAAUCGCGAUUACUAUAGCAAUACUAGCUUUCGUAAUGUACCACGCACAAACCAUCAACGGCGGUCGGUUUGCGGAGAUGCGGCUAAAUGAUGCACUUUUGGGAUCAUUAAUUCUCUUCCACGACUUUCUCAUUAUUUAUUGGCUAACUUUCUAUUGGCAAAUCUUAGUGAGACCAUUCACGCCCCAUAAUUGGAUACUCUUGGCGGACAUAAAAGAUGCUACUACUGCUGCACCUUGUGGUGUUUUGAGUCCUGGGGGUACG
Long non-coding RNA from Drosophila navojoa, 504 nucleotides. Lineage: Eukaryota; Metazoa; Arthropoda; Insecta; Diptera; Drosophilidae. The record is from RefSeq and is a predicted model, not a curated record.